GCUAGGUGUGGUAACCGGGUGCAGCGUUCAGAGUUCCAGGUUGCUGACACGGGGGAAGGCCCUUAUGUCCACGUUGCUGCACAACUGUGCACACUGUGCGGGCACUUGUGUGUCAUUUUCAGUCUUCUGAGUGUAGUCACCUGCUGGCUCGUGGGUGCUGGGUUGCCACCUGAGACACCUCCUGCUCCUUGGGAAGAGGAAAGGAAGUUUGCCUCCUUCUCAUCUUCACCUUCUGCUUCUCUGUUAGAGGUUUACAGCCAAGAUUGAGCCAAGAGCCUGGUACAUUUCAAGUACAUUUUCAUACAUGGUGUGAGGGUUUCUGAUAAGAAACAGCUAUUUAUCUUUUUGAGUCUCUUUUAUAUGAUAAGGCCUUCCACAGAAACUUCCAAGGUGCCAGUCAAACGCGUUCAGUCACUGUGACUUACUCCUCCAGGCGAGGUAGAGUAAGCUUGGCCCAUUGUGAACUACACUUCCCACUCAGGAGGUGUUAUGGUCCGCCAUUUUGGAACAUACCAUGUUUGAAGAAGUGUGGUCUCCAGCUGAGUGUGCUCAGGAACGUGCCCACCUCCCCAGGUGAUGAGGAAUCUUUCCUCUAUGAAUCAGUCUUCCCAAUAAAAGCCCUUGUUUCUUUAUUCCUUGGAGAGACUGCUUGGAGAAUUAUUCCCAGAGUACUCCUUACUUGCUGCAAGUAAUGAACCUUUCUCUACUCUUUUAUCUCCUGGCUGUGCUUAUGGGCUUCACACCCAGGGCUGAACGCACUGGGCCUGGUUACCCCUGAGAGAAUUCACAUGCAGCUCUCUUGUGACAGAUUCAUGGUCUUCUCUGUACUAACUGCUUGUGAACUUGCCUUGUGUUUAUUAGUGAGAAUUCCAGAGUGGCCAGGGUCUUGAAUCAGAUGGUACCUGGCUGCAGCAUGUCUCUUGUGUGCAUAAGACACUCUAUAAGUACACGUCCUACUGAACAGUUAUGUACGUUCAGCAUGAAAUCAAGCAGGAGUUGAAGAUUGGAAAUGUGGAGAGAAGACAUUAGUGAUUUCACUAAAAAAAAAAACAACAAAACACUGUUGUAGCCAGGAAAGAGGAAAUUGAUUAGAAGUCUGGACACAGGAGUAGGGUGUGUUCAGCUAACUAGGUGAGUGAUUAUUUGGGGAUAUGGCUCUGACCAGUGUGGCAUUCUUUUGAGAUGCAAAGAGGGGCAGCUGCAUGAUGAGGCAGGGAGAUUAAGGCCUUUGGCUCUGACCCUGCGAGUCCCCUGGGCCCCUGAUAGGCAGCAUCAAGGACCUCAGCAGAAGCCAAAAAGUGACUGUGGCACUAAACUUAAACGUUCCCUCCCAUCAGGUGGACGGUGGACAGCAUAUGCUGCUACGAACAGUGCAAGCCCUAGCUGGCCUGAGGUGGCGGGAGCAGAGACCCCACACUAGCAAAUGUUGGGCAAACAGAAGUGGAGGGUGGGCAUGGCUGGAGAGCCGCGUCUGGCCCACAGAGGGCGCGUUAUUCUAAAACGUCACCAUCCUAAUCAGAAAAGUCUGACUCGCAAAGCAGACUUGGUUCAUGUUUCCAAAGCUUUGAAUGCUGUCUCUCAGCUUCCUCCUAGGCUCUGCAUCCUGGAUGGCUUUGAGAAUCUGAUGAGAGAGAUGAAAUUCUCCCUGGAAAAGGCACACACCCACCAACUUCUGACUAGAAUUCAGGGGUUCAUCUUGGCAAACCUCUCCAAGGAUCCUUGAGGCCUCGCUGCCCCCCCAGAUGCCAGCACCUGGCCCUCUGCAGUCUGCUAAGCAAGUCCUUUGCACAUUCUCACCCAUUCGGAUGCAAUUUCUGGGCUUUGUUCCAAGUUUCUGCAGUGUUCCUUGGCCCCCGGCGAACAGCACUCACUCAGCUCUGCACAUUUCCUUAUCAAAAAAGGCAGCAAACAAAUGCUGAACCACUUAGGCAGAGCUAAGUUGCUUUUUAUUUUCUUUUCACAGGGUUUCCAGUAUGCUCAGGAAGCAGCACUGUGUCUCUGCAAAUUGUUUGGAAGCCUUGGCUAAGGGUUAUGUGGGAACCAAUCAGCACUUUGGCACAGGGACUCGCCAUCUUGAGUCCAUUUGAAUGGUGGGAGCCAAAUCCUGCGGCCCGCCAAGGUCUGGAUUAGUUUACUUACUAAUGAGGCGGCACUGACACUGUGCUUCCAAGAGCCAGAACGCUGGACAAAGCAGUUUAAUUUAAUAUCCUCCAUGAAAUCCUGAGGGAAGGGUCAGUCUCAAAGCACCCAACUUUGCACUCUCAGUUAAGUGGGUUGGCAAGGCAGAGGAGGGCCAGGUGUGGCACCAACUGUGUGUGGUCAGCCGAGCAGAGGGAAACUUGGAGACUCCAGAAGCUCCCAUUUGCUGGUGAGGAUCUCUUGACACAAGUUAAACUUCAUCCAGAAAAUACUAUUUUACCAUCUGGGGGUUCGGUGGGUCUGGGGUUGUUAGCUGAGGUGCUGCUGCUCUGUAUGGGGGCACUGCAGGAUUGGUGGCAUUGAGAAUCCCACUUCCGAGUUUAAACUGACAGCCCAAGCAGCUGUUCUUGUCUCGCUUUCUUCUUCUUUUAAGUGGCCCUGGGUUUGCUCCCCAGGAGCACACGCUCAGCAGAAGCCACUUUAGGUGGUGGAUCUGUGCUGCAGCCGGGGGAAUAAAGCCCAUUUUCCUUUUAGUCCCCCUGGGACGCUCGAUGUGGCCAUUUUCUCCUGCCUCUGUGGCCCAGUACCUCAGGCCCUUCACUAGCUCUGGGGUGUCACAGUGAAGUCAGAAGUGAGGACAGGCAGGUAACGUAGAAUAAGAAAUCUGGUCGAAUGGAGGAAUGAAGGCCGUCUGCGUCUGGGAAGUUGGAGGCCGCCCCUGGGAGAUUGGAAUGUCAGGGUCUCCAGCACCUUUUUGAUCACCAAGGUCACCUGCCUAACUACCCUUCCCAGUAAAGCUGCAGGCAGGGAGUUGCUAAUUCA
This is a long non-coding RNA of Sciurus carolinensis (gray squirrel), 2961 nucleotides long. RefSeq lists it as uncharacterized. The record is from RefSeq and is a predicted model, not a curated record. The transcript has 5 exons. Lineage: Eukaryota; Metazoa; Chordata; Mammalia; Rodentia; Sciuridae.